UCAGGCAGCGACAUCCGCUUGUUCAUUCUUGCUCAGGACUUGCCCAAGAUCAUCUUGACUUGGCUCUUUUUGGUACACUGUGUUGCAUGCCAACAUUGAUGGAAUUUUUGACGCUGUCGGUUUGUCCAUUAAUUCACCUUGUGCUGCUCAUGUGGUGCGGGGUGAACGCCGUAGUGCCUCGUGAUGCCCUGGCCUUCGUCACUUCUUGUGAUGUUGGUUUGGGAGACACUGGGAACUCGAACUCUCGGAUAUAGAAAGUAAUGUUGGGCGUAUGGGGUCUAGCACUCCGUAAGCCCAGAUUGAGCGCUCUCGCCAACGACGUUGACAUCCAGGUUCUCAAAGUGUCGGGAUAGCUGGCUGACGUUGUUGGGCAGAGAGCUUCGAAAGACAAACUGUCGAGCCUCGUUUCGUAGAGGUCCUGAGGCGUACGACCGUACGACCAAAGGCUGCUCGGGUUGGGGUACCUCGGCAUGUUUGCCAAGGAAUGCUACCUGG
RNAcentral lists this unclassified non-coding RNA (495 nucleotides) under Azorella hydrocotyloides. RNAcentral describes it as "partial contains external transcribed spacer and 18S ribosomal RNA". The record is from RNAcentral. Lineage: Eukaryota; Viridiplantae; Streptophyta; Magnoliopsida; Apiales; Apiaceae.